This 1405-nucleotide ribosomal RNA is filed under the name metagenome. RNAcentral's name for it is "bacterial LSU rRNA". It matches the Rfam family "Bacterial large subunit ribosomal RNA", at positions 1518 to 2925 of the family's 2925-position model. The record is from RNAcentral.
UGUGAGGCUGAUGUGUAGGCAAAUCCGCACAUCGAUAAGGCUGGGCUGUGAUGGGGAGCGAAAAUUGCAGUAGCGAAGGUCAUGAGUUCAGGCUGCCAAGAAAAGCCUCUAGCCAGGUGAAGGUGCCCGUACCGCAAACCGACACAGGUAGGCGAGCAGAGUAUGCUAAGGCGCUCGGAAGAACUCUCGUUAAGGAACUCGGCAAAAUGACCCCGUAACUUCGGGAGAAGGGGUGCCUCGGUAGGGUGAAUAGCCCGAGGGGGCCGCAGUGAAAAGGCCCAAGCGACUGUUUAGCAAAAACACAGGUCUGUGCGAAGCCGUAAGGCGAAGUAUACGGGCUGACGCCUGCCCGGUGCUGGAAGGUUAAGGGGAGUGGUUAGCCGCAAGGCGAAGCUAUGAACCGAAGCCCCAGUAAACGGCGGCCGUAACCAUAACGGUCCUAAGGUAGCGAAAUUCCUUGUCAGGUAAAUUCUGACCCGCACGAAUGGCGUAACGACUUGGGCGCUGUCUCAACGAGAGAUCCGGUGAAAUUUUAAUACCUGUGAAGAUGCAGGUUACCCGCGACAAGACGGAAAGACCCCAUGGAGCUUUACUGCAGCUUGAUAUUGGACUUUGGUGCGAUCUGUACAGGAUAGGUGGGAGCCUUGGAAACCGGAGCGCCAGCUUCGGCGGAGGCAUCGUUGGGAUACCACCCUGAUCGUAUCGGAGUUCUAACCUGGUACCGUGAUCCGGUACAGGGACCGUGUCAGGUGGGCAGUUUGACUGGGGCGGUCGCCUCCUAAAAUGUAACGGAGGCGCCCAAAGGUUCCCUCAGAAUGGUUGGAAAUCAUUCGUAGCGUGCAAAGGCAUAAGGGAGCUUACUGCGAGACCUACAAGUCGAGCAGGGACGAAAGUCGGGCUUAGUGAUCCGGUGGUACCGCAUGGAAGGGCCAUCGCUCAACGGAUAAAAGCUACCCUGGGGAUAACAGGCUUAUCUCCCCCAAGAGUCCACAUCGACGGGGAGGUUUGGCACCUCGAUGUCGGCUCAUCGCAUCCUGGGGCUGAAGUAGGUCCCAAGGGUUGGGCUGUUCGCCCAUUAAAGCGGUACGCGAGCUGGGUUCAGAACGUCGUGAGACAGUUCGGUCCCUAUCUGUCGUGGGCGUAGGAAAUUUGAGAGGAGCUGUCCUUAGUACGAGAGGACCGGGAUGGACGCACCGCUGGUGUACCAGUUGUUCCGCCAGGAGCAUAGCUGGGUAGCUACGUGCGGACGGGAUAAGCGCUGAAAGCAUCUAAGCGUGAAGCCCCCCUCAAGAUGAGAUUUCCCAGUAUGUAAGACCCCUGGAAGACGACCAGGUUGAUAGGUUCGAGGUGGAAGCGCAGCAAUGCGUGGAGCUGACGAAUACUAAUCGGUCGAGGGCUUAUUCAA